Molecule: long non-coding RNA, 655 nt
Filed under: Mytilus galloprovincialis (Mediterranean mussel)
Lineage: Eukaryota; Metazoa; Mollusca; Bivalvia; Mytilida; Mytilidae
Source: RNAcentral
UUUUACUUUUUACACUGUAAAUUCAGAAAUUAAUGUAUGCAUUUAUUAUUGAGAAUAAUGGAUGACUGUUAAAAAAAUGCAAGAUUUUAUUAAUACAAUUACAAACAUCCUGUGAGGGAAAAAUAAUAUUAAAAUGAUAAAAUUCAAGUUUUUAUUAUUGUCAAAUUUAUACUGUUACAAUUAUCUCAUAAGGCCAAAAAAAAAAUACAUAUGUUUCCACUAACCCUACCUACCCUAAUUUUUAGUGCCUACCCUAAAACUUUUUAUGCAAUUUUGGAUCACUUUUAAAGUCAGACUUAUUCCCUAGUAGUAACCAGCUAAAAAUGUUUGUAAAAUAAAAUGAUAUUGCCUUCCUACCUACCCUAUUUUUAUUCAGCACGUUAGUGGAAAAACAUGUAUUAUAUUUUGGCCUAAAUGAAAUCAAGAAAUAAUUUAUGAAUUUACAUUAAAUUGAACAUUGUCUCAUGUACAUUGUCAAUUAUAUCACUAUCUGCUAGGUAUUUAUCUCACUUUUCAGUGAUAAGUACAAGCCAUGUAUACAAUGAUUUUUCAUAUUCAUAUUUAAGCUACUCCAAAUGUUAUUCUUUUCAUCUUAAAACAGUUUUCUGUAGAACUUGUGCUGUAACCAAAAUGUAUACAGUGUUCUGUUAUUGGA